CUGCUCAGGACGAACGCUGGCGGCGUGCUUAACACAUGCAAGUCGAACGGUAAGGCCCCUUCGGGGGUACACGAGUGGCGAACGGGUGAGUAACACGUGGGUAAUCUGCCCUGCACUUCGGGAUAAGCCUGGGAAACUGGGUCUAAUACCGGAUAUGAACUCCUGCCGCAUGGUGGGGGUUGGAAAGUUUUUCGGUGCAGGAUGAGCCCGCGGCCUAUCAGCUUGUUGGUGGGGUAAUGGCCUACCAAGGCGACGACGGGUAGCCGGCCUGAGAGGGUGAUCGGCCACACUGGGACUGAGACACGGCCCAGACUCCUACGGGAGGCAGCAGUGGGGAAUAUUGCACAAUGGGCGAAAGCCUGAUGCAGCGACGCCGCGUGGGGGAUGACGGUCUUCGGAUUGUAAACCCCUUUCAGUAGGGACGAAGCGCAAGUGACGGUACCUGCAGAAGAAGCACCGGCUAACUACGUGCCAGCAGCCGCGGUAAUACGUAGGGUGCGAGCGUUGUCCGGAAUUACUGGGCGUAAAGAGCUCGUAGGCGGUUUGUCACGUCGUCUGUGAAAUCCCUCGGCUUAACCGGGGGCGUGCAGGCGAUACGGGCAGACUUGAGUACUACAGGGGAGACUGGAAUUCCUGGUGUAGCGGUGAAAUGCGCAGAUAUCAGGAGGAACACCGGUGGCGAAGGCGGGUCUCUGGGUAGUAACUGACGCUGAGGAGCGAAAGCAUGGGUAGCGAACAGGAUUAGAUACCCUGGUAGUCCAUGCCGUAAACGGUGGGCGCUAGGUGUGGGGUCCUUCCACGGACUCCGUGCCGUAGCUAAAACGGCAA
RNAcentral lists this ribosomal RNA (828 nucleotides) under Dietzia sp. RNAcentral's name for it is "bacterial SSU rRNA". It matches the Rfam family "Bacterial small subunit ribosomal RNA", at positions 20 to 863 of the family's 1533-position model. The record is from RNAcentral. Lineage: Bacteria; Bacillati; Actinomycetota; Actinomycetes; Mycobacteriales; Dietziaceae.